AAUAGAUACCCUGGUAGUCCACGCCGUAAACGAUGGGUGCUAAGUGUUAGAGGGUUUCCGCCCUUUAGUGCUGAAGUUAACGCAUUAAGCACUCCGCCUGGGGAGUACGGCCGCAAGGCUGAAACUCAAAGGAAUUGACGGGGGCCCGCACAAGCGGUGGAGCAUGUGGUUUAAUUCGAAGCAACGCGAAGAACCUUACCAGGUCUUGACAUCCUCUGACAACCCUAGAGAUAGGGCUUCUCCUUCGGGAGCAGAGUGACAGGUGGUGCAUGGUUGUCGUCAGCUCGUGUCGUGAGAUGUUGGGUUAAGUCCCGCAACGAGCGCAACCCUUGAUCUUAGUUGCCAUCAUUAAGUUGGGCACUCUAAGGUGACUGCCGGUGACAAACCGGAGGAAGGUGGGGAUGACGUCAAAUCAUCAUGCCCCUUAUGACCUGGGCUACACACGUGCUACAAUGGACGGUACAAAGAGCUGCAAGACCGCGAGGUGGAGCUAAUCUCAUAAAACCGUUCUCAGUUCGGAUUGUAGG
RNAcentral lists this ribosomal RNA (527 nucleotides) under uncultured bacterium. Its description in RNAcentral is "bacterial SSU rRNA". It matches the Rfam family "Bacterial small subunit ribosomal RNA", at positions 777 to 1304 of the family's 1533-position model. The record is from RNAcentral.